CACGUACUAUCAGAGUUUGAUCCUGGCUCAGGACGAACGCUGGCGGCACGCCUAACACAUGCAAGUCGAACGGAGAUAUUUUGGAUUUAUUUCGAAUAUCUUAGUGGCGGACGGGUGAGUAACACGUGAGCAACCUGCCUUUGAGAGAGGGAUAGCUUUUGGAAACGAAUGGUAAUACCUCAUAACGUAUAUUUGAGGCAUCUCAGAUAUACCAAAGAUUUAUCACUCAAAGAUGGGCUCGCGUCUGAUUAGCUAGAUGGUGAGGUAACGGCUCACCAUGGCGACGAUCAGUAGCCGGACUGAGAGGUUGAACGGCCACAUUGGGACUGAGACACGGCCCAG
Molecule: ribosomal RNA, 342 nt
Filed under: uncultured bacterium
Lineage: Bacteria
Description: bacterial SSU rRNA
Rfam family: Bacterial small subunit ribosomal RNA
Source: RNAcentral